UACGUAGGAGGCAAGCGUUAUCCGGAAUGACUGGGCGUAAAGGGUGCGUAGGUGGUUUGACAAGUUGGUAGCGCAACUCCGGGGCUCAACCUCGGCACUACUACCAAAACUGUUGAACUUGAGUGCAGGAGGGGCAAAUGGAAUUCCUAGUGUAGCGGUGAAAUGCGUAGAUAUUAGGAGGAACACCAGUGGCGAAGGCGGCCUGCUGGGCUUUUACUGACGCUGAGGCUCGAAAGUGUGGGGAGCAAAAAGG
Molecule: ribosomal RNA, 253 nt
Filed under: uncultured Eubacteriales bacterium
Lineage: Bacteria; Bacillati; Bacillota; Clostridia; Eubacteriales
Description: uncultured Clostridiales bacterium partial 16S ribosomal RNA
Rfam family: Bacterial small subunit ribosomal RNA
Source: RNAcentral